UUUAGAUUCUGAAAUAUGAGCGCCGAGCGGAGCGAUGUUUUUUUUAAAUUUGUAACAAUGUUGCCAGUGCUGCAGCCGAUGACCGAUGAUCAAAUUUUAGUGCACAUUAACAAAUAAUCAAGCAAAAUGUCUAAGAAGGGUGUGUACAGGCAAAUAUAUGUCACUAUAGUCGAUUUUAGAAUAAGUGCAAAUAAGUGCCAUUGACAUUGCUGUGGAUCACGUUAUUUGAUGUACGUCCGACGUCGUGGUCGUACGAUAGUCAAACGACAAAUGAGUAGCGACCAAGUCAAUAUUCAUCAG
This is a long non-coding RNA of Metopolophium dirhodum (rose-grain aphid), 300 nucleotides long. RefSeq lists it as uncharacterized. The transcript has 4 exons. The record is from RefSeq and is a predicted model, not a curated record. Lineage: Eukaryota; Metazoa; Arthropoda; Insecta; Hemiptera; Aphididae.